GAGUUUGAUUCUGGCUCAGGAUGAACGCUGGCGGCGUGCCUAACACAUGCAAGUCGAGCGCGGUUGUGCUUAGUAUUGAGUGUUUUAUUGAUAUAAAACAUUGAAUUCUAUGCACAACUGAGCGGCGGACGGGUGAGUAACGCGUGGGUAACCUGCCCUAUACACAUGGAUAACAUACUGAAAAGUUUACUAAUACAUGAUAAAAUAGUUUUUCGGCAUCGAAGAAUUAUCAAAGUGUUAGCGGUAUAGGAUGGACCCGCAUCUGAUUAGCUAGUUGGUGAGAUAACUGCCCACCAAGGCAACGAUCAGUAGCCGACCUGAGAGGGUGAUCGGCCACAUUGGAACUGAGACACGGUCCAAACUCCUACGGGAGGCAGCAGUGGGGAAUAUUGCACAAUGGGCGCAAGCCUGAUGCAGCAACGCCGCGUGAACGAUGAAGGUCUUCGGAUCGUAAAGUUCUGUUGCAGGGGAAGAUNAUGACGUACCCUGGAGGAG
RNAcentral lists this ribosomal RNA (495 nucleotides) under Peptostreptococcus sp. canine oral taxon 033. Its description in RNAcentral is "bacterial SSU rRNA". It matches the Rfam family "Bacterial small subunit ribosomal RNA", at positions 9 to 488 of the family's 1533-position model. Lineage: Bacteria; Bacillati; Bacillota; Clostridia; Peptostreptococcales; Peptostreptococcaceae. The record is from RNAcentral.